GCCGUCUGUAGCAUUGAAUGCAAGGGAAGGCAGCGAGCAUUUGGCCUCCCUUGAUCAUUAUUUAAAUAAAAUAAUAACCAAUCCACGUUGCGCUAAACUGAGUGAGUUCAGCUGUGAAUGGUCCUGGCGCACCAAAAAACAGUGUCAAGGGAAGCCAGUUUGUACCUAUCACAUAUGAAGCCAAACAACAUCGACAUAACUUGAAUUGUUAUAACUCAUUGUGUCAUUGUCCUCCGGUAGCUAGCUAGCUAAAAUUGUCCCUUUCCUAAAUUAGCCAUGGAUGGAGAUAGGGAUUUGGGCUUGUGGUUUUACUUAAAUCUCUGUAUUGGCCAAUGAUUAUAAAGGUGAUUCUGAUCAAACCAUAAAUGCAUACAUUGAGCCCCUGGCCUGAGAGGAUGGAAGUUCAACAUGUCGCUAGCUAAUGUAUAUGUAGUUAACUAGCUGGCCUGGCACAUUGUUGCUCAUGAAAGAAAGUUAGGCUAGCGAGCAAGCAUUUUAGUAACCUAGGACAACAAAAACUAAAAGUGUGUAUAGACCGUUUAGGCAACAUGAAAGAGGAUGGCAUUGGCAUUUUUCAACAGAAAACAAGACAUUCCUCAAGGCUCUCAGAUGUGUUCCAUCCGCAGUCGUCACAUCUUAGAUCCAGCGCACCUGACCCAAUGUGAGCAGAGCAGGAGGGAUUCCUGUCACUCAGAGCUCUGUGGGCCCACCUUCCAUCCACCAGACUGUCAGCCCUGGGGAGUUUUUUUCAGAAGCACUAUAUGGCUUUUCAGAGAACCAGAGGUUAAUCUAUUUGGAAUUAUUCAGACUUCCUUCACUGAAGUUCAACAGUUUUAUUGGUGGAGACCCUGGCAGUUUUCACUUCAAAAGUUGAUCCGCAGGACAUCCUGACAUAAGCAAUGGCUUCUCUCUCUAAAACUGGACUGAGCUACAUUUAGAGUGCCUGACUGAGGGACUUAAACUCAUGAAAGACCAACCGACCAGUUGAUAUUUCAAGGAUAAAUUCCUAGCACAGAAUUGGAGUACAACCAGCAAGUUCUACUAUUCUCUGCCAUCAUUCCAGUGGUAGUAUGCAAAGUUGCAUCAUACCAAAGUGGCCCAAGUUUGUAAGCACUUUAGUCUGUGUGGGAGAGUUUCUGCUUGUGGCGCUGAUUUAUUUCCCAAAUAGCCCAUUUGGUAUGAAAAUUAUAUUCUUGUGCAAAUACUAUAUUUGUAUUUCAAAAUGAUAUUCAUAAAAUUACAGAAACAGUGUUAUCUUCUGUAUGUUUUAAUGUGAGAGGUCUAGGAAAUAUUUAUGAUAGACUUCCCAUUUGAAAAAACAAUGAAGACACCAUACAUUGCUGUUUUGCACAAUUUGUAUCACAAUUUAUUCUUAAUCACAAUCCAUAUAUUUCCCUUGAAACAGUGCAUUUGGGCACUCCUGUGCACAAGAGUAACUUAGACAAAUUGUUAAAUACUGUGCAUUAGUCAAAUGUAGAAGAAGAGCUAGAUGACCCAACUUCAGCUGAAGUUUAGAUAAGAUCAAUGUGUAGACUCACUAAACAGAGAGGAAAGAGAGAUGUACUAGUGUCACUAAACCUGUGUCUGUCUAUUUGUCUUUUCUCUUCCAUCCAUAUAACUUUCUAGCUACCACAUCUCUCUUUUUUUUCUGAUUAGUUUAACCUGAUUUAUUAUAGAUAAACAUUAUGACCUUCCAUUGAUUUUAGUGGUGGAUAGAGGCAAAGUAACGUUUGAUUUCAAGACAGAUGAAGAGCCUCCCUAGAGCAUUUGGACUCUACAAUGCCUCCAUUUGUUUCAGAGACAGGCCAAAUCCCAUAUUUGGAUUAUACACAAUAUACAAACAAAAGUAUGUGGACACCCCUUCAAAUUAGUGUAUUCAGCUAUUUCAGCCAGACCCGUUGCUGACACGUGUAUAUAAUAGAGGACACAGCCAUGCAGUCUCAAUAGAUGAACAUUGGCAAUAGACUGGCCUUACUGAAGAGCUCAGUGACUUUCAAUGUGGCACCGUCAUAGGAUGCCACCUUUCAAACAAUCAGUUCGUCAAAUUUCUGCCCUUCCAGAGCUGCCCCGGUCAACUGUACGCACUGUAAUUGUCUAGGAGCAACAACGGCUUAGCCGCGAAGUGGUACAGAACAGGACCGCCGAGUGCUGAAGUGCACAGCACGUAAAAAUCAUCUGUCCUCGGGUUGCAACUCACACUACCAAAUUCCGAACUGCCUCUGGAAGCAACAUCAGCACAAGAACUGUUCGGGAGCUUCAUAAAUGGGUUUCCAUGGCAAAGCAGCCGCACACAAGCCUAGGAUCACAAUGUGGAAUACCAAGCGUUGGCUGGAGUGGUGUAAAGCUCGCCGCCAUUGGACUCUGGAUCAGUGGAAAUGCGUUCUCUGGAGUGAUGAAUCACGCUUCACCAUCUGGCAGUCCAACGGACAAAUCUGAGUUUGGAAGAUGUCAGGAGAACACUACCUGCCCCAAUGCAUAGUGCCAACUGUAAAGUUUGGUGAAGGAGGAAUAAUGGUCUGGGGCUGUUCAUGGUUCGGGCCCCUUAGUUCCAGUGAAGGAAAAUCUUAAUGCUACAGCAUACAAUUACAUUCUAGAUGAUUCUGUGCUUCCAACUUUGUGGCAACAGUUUGGGGAAGGCCCCCUGUUUCAGCAUGACAAUGCCCCAGUGCACAAAGCAAGGCCCAUACAGAAAUGGUUUAUGGAGAUCGGUGUGGGAGAUCUUGACUUGACUGGCCUGAGCACAGCUCUGACCUCAACCCCAUCGAAAACUUUUGGGGUUAAUUGGAACGCAGACUGUGAGCCAGGCCUAAUCGUCCAACAUCAGUGCCCAACCUCACUGAUGGCUGAAUGGAAGGAAGUCCCUGCAGCAAUGUUCCAACAUCUAGUGGAAAGCCUUCCCAGAAGAGUGGAAGCUGUUAUAGCAGCAAAUAGGGGACGCACUCCAUAUUAAUGCCCAUGAUUUUGGAAUGAGAUGUUCGACGAGCAGGUGUCCACAUACUUUUGGUCAUGUAGUGUGUCUUUCUUAUACAAACUCCAGAAGGUAUGGAUGUGGACUGAUGAUGUAGGAGGGGGGUGCAAUACCCCCCCCCCCCCCCCCCCCCCCACCCUCUUUCUCAAUGAUCUGAGCAGGCUCAUAUGAUUUUGAUAGACAUCCUAUAUUCCUCAGAUAAUUUGGAAUUUCUGGAAAACCAUCAGAAUCUGAAGAAACACCAGUGCACUUCUUUUGACUGUGGAGGACACAUCUACAUGGAAAACAGCCCAGGUCUUGACAAUCUUCCCUUUGAACUGAUAAUACUAUACUGUGCAAUAUUUCAGAGUUGUGAGAAUUCACAAGGUUGCAAUACAUGAAUGUAUAAAGUAACUGUAUCAGAGGCUGCAUCAUAAGUAACACCUGUAGACUAUAAUCUUAGAAGAGGGAAAUGUAAGGUGGCGUAUAAUUGAAAUUGCACUAAGAAUUAUCAUUGUAUUAGAUUUAGCAGUGUUCAUUUAGACUUAGUAUUUAUCAGUGUUUUCUUUAUUACUGAAAUAUGAGUGUUUCUCUGAUUUGCUAGGAGUGAUACUUUACAUUCAAUUGGCAUUGUAUUUAUUUUUUAUUAAUUUGCACUGAUCGGAUGUUGAUGAUCGGAUGUUUUUAAAUAUAUAUAAUGCUUGUCAAGAUUGCAGACUCAUCAAAGUAUUUCAAUUUUUUGGAUUAAUUAUCUUCUGUAACAAAAUAAAUCCAUCGUUAUAAUGCACCAUUGUCUAUGGCUUUGCAAGGACAGUGUUGUACAUGGGCAGAACUGGACUAAAGUCACAAUGAAACAAAACAUGUAUGCAAUGACACUAAAAGUAGUUAAAAAUAAAAGUGAGCAUUUCACAAGUGCUCUCGUUUGUGUGUGGGGAGGGGAAGAGGGAGGGGUGGAUUAUUUUACCAAAAAG
This is a long non-coding RNA of Oncorhynchus mykiss (rainbow trout), 3918 nucleotides long. Lineage: Eukaryota; Metazoa; Chordata; Actinopteri; Salmoniformes; Salmonidae. The record is from Ensembl.